UUCGCAAUGCCCGAAAGGGUGACGAAGCGACGCCGCGUGAGCGAAGAAGGCCCUAGGGUUGUAAAGCCCUGUCAGGAGUUAAGAAAUGUAAGUGCGCUAAUAUCGCAUUUACUUGACGAAGGCUCCAAAGGAAGCCACGGCUAACUCUGUGCCAGCAGCCGCGGUAAUACAGAGGCGGCAAGCGUUGUUCGGAAUUAUUGGGCGUAAAGAGCACGUAGGCGGCCUUGCAAGUCAGUUGUGAAAGCCUUCCGCUCAACGGAAGAAUGCCAGCUGAUACUACAGGGCUUGAGUACGGGAGGGGAGAGUGGAACUUCUGGUGGAGCGGUGAAAUGCGUAGAUAUCAGAAGGAACGUCGGCGGCGAAAGCGACUCUCUGGCCUAUUACUGACACUGAGUGUGCGAAAGUUAGGGGAGCAAACGGGAUUAGAUACCCCGGUAGUCCUAACUGUAAACGAUGGGCACUAAGUAGAGGGGUUUU
RNAcentral lists this ribosomal RNA (477 nucleotides) under uncultured anaerobic ammonium-oxidizing bacterium. RNAcentral describes it as "bacterial SSU rRNA". It matches the Rfam family "Bacterial small subunit ribosomal RNA", at positions 365 to 832 of the family's 1533-position model. The record is from RNAcentral.